GACGAACGCUGGCGGCGUGCUUAACACAUGCAAGUCGAACGGAAAGGCCCUGCUUUUGUGGGGUGCUCGAGUGGCGAACGGGUGAGUAACACGUGAGUAACCUGCCCUUGACUUUGGGAUAACUUCAGGAAACUGGGGCUAAUACCGGAUAGGAGCUCCUGCUGCAUGGUGGGGUUGGAAAGUUUCGGCGGUUGGGGAUGGACUCGCGGCUUAUCAGCUUGUUGGUGGGGUAGUGGCUUACCAAGGCUUUGACGGGUAGCCGGCCUGAGAGGGUGACCGGCCACAUUGGGACUGAGAUACGGCCCAGACUCCUACGGGAGGCAGCAGUGGGGAAUAUUGCACAAUGGGCGGAAGCCUGAUGCAGCAACGCCGCGUGCGGGAUGACGGCCUUCGGGUUGUAAACCGCUUUCGCCUGUGACGAAGCGUGAGUGACGGUAAUGGGUAAAGAAGCACCGGCUAACUACGUGCCAGCAGCCGCGGUGAUACGUAGGGUGCGAGCGUUGUCCGGAUUUAUUGGGCGUAAAGGGCUCGUAGGUGGUUGAUCGCGUCGGAAGUGUAAUCUUGGGGCUUAACCCUGAGCGUGCUUUCGAUACGGGUUGACUUGAGGAAGGUAGGGGAGAAUGGAAUUCCUGGUGGAGCGGUGGAAUGCGCAGAUAUCAGGAGGAACACCAGUGGCGAAGGCGGUUCUCUGGGCCUUUCCUGACGCUGAGGAGCGAAAGCGUGGGGAGCGAACAGGCUUAGAUACCCUGGUAGUCCACGCUGUAAACGGUGGGUACUAGGUGUGGGGUCCAUUCCACGGGUUCCGUGCCGUAGCUAACGCUUUAAGUACCCCGCCUGGGGAGUACGGCCGCAAGGCUAAAACUCAAAGGAAUUGACGGGGCCCCGCACAAGCGGCGGAGCAUGCGGAUUAAUUCGAUGCAACGCGUAGAACCUUACCUGGGUUUGACAUGGAUCGGGAGUGCUCAGAGAUGGGUGUGCCUCUUUUGGGGUCGGUUCACAGGUGGUGCAUGGCUGUCGUCAGCUCGUGUCGUGAGAUGUUGGGUUAAGUCCCGCAACGAGCGCAACCCUUGUUCACUGUUGCCAGCACGUUAUGGUGGGGACUCAGUGGAGACCGCCGGGGUCAACUCGGAGGAAGGUGGGGAUGACGUCAAGUCAUCAUGCCCCUUAUGUCCAGGGCUUCACGCAUGCUACAAUGGCUGGUACAGAGAGUGGCGAGCCUGUGAGGGUGAGCGAAUCUCGGAAAGUCGGUCUCAGUUCGGAUUGGGGUCUGCAACUCGACCUCAUGAAGUCGGAGUCGCUAGUAAUCGCAGAUCAGCAACGCUGCGGUGAAUACGUUCCCGGGGCU
RNAcentral lists this ribosomal RNA (1345 nucleotides) under uncultured bacterium. RNAcentral describes it as "partial 16S ribosomal RNA". It matches the Rfam family "Bacterial small subunit ribosomal RNA", at positions 28 to 1381 of the family's 1533-position model. The record is from RNAcentral.